CAGGCCUAACACAUGCAAGUCGAGCGGCAGCGGGAAGUAGCUUGCUACUUUGCCGGCGAGCGGCGGACGGGUGAGUAACGCGUGGGAAUCUACCCAUUUGUGGGGGAUAACUUGGGGAAACUCAAGCUAAUACCGCAUAAUCCCUACGGGGGAAAGCAGGGGAUCUUCGGACCUUGCGCAGAUGGAUGAGCCCGCGUCGGAUUAGCUAGUUGGUAGGGUAAAGGCCUACCAAGGCGACGAUCCGUAACUGGUCUGAGAGGAUGACCAGUCACAUCGGGACUGAGACACGGCCCGAACUCCUACGGGAGGCAGCAGUGAGGAAUCUUGGACAAUGGGGGCAACCCUGAUCCAGCCAUGCCGCGUGUGUGAAGAAGGCCCUAGGGUUGUAAAGCACUUUCAGUAGGGAGGAAGGCUUCGGGUUAAUACCCUGGAGUACUUGACGUUACCUACAGAAGAAGCACCGGCUAAUUUCGUGCCAGCAGCCGCGGUAAUACGAAAGGUGCGAGCGUUAAUCGGAAUUACUGGGCGUAAAGCGCGCGUAGGCGGUUAGUUAAGUCGGAUGUGAAAGCCCAGGGCUCAACCUUGGAACUGCAUCCGAUACUGGCUAGCUAGAGUGCAGUAGAGGGAGGUGGAAUUUCCGGUGUAGCGG
RNAcentral lists this ribosomal RNA (649 nucleotides) under uncultured bacterium. RNAcentral describes it as "bacterial SSU rRNA". It matches the Rfam family "Bacterial small subunit ribosomal RNA", at positions 43 to 681 of the family's 1533-position model. The record is from RNAcentral.